GGAUUACCUUCAGGACAAUUCUCUGUUUUCUGUUGAACCGUUAUCGUUGGUUGUUGCUUUACUCAACUACAGUGGUAUGUCCAUGAUAAGCGCUGGUGUACUUGGCGCUCACCGACCUUUGCUUGUUGUACGUACGUACUUCGAAUCGUCUAGUUGAUCUCCACGUAACUUGUAAAUUUAACUUGGCGAUACUGGACGCAACAAGUCGAAGCCGGUAACCAUUGUGAAUAAUUUUUGAAUUUUUGCCGAAACUCGAACAUCUCUGCGGUCGAUUUGAAGUGCAUAAUCGGUGCAUACAAAUAUAUGGGAGCAUUCUUACCAGAUCUCUGCUCUUCCUGCCACGAAAAUUGGUGUAACUGAACGUACGUACGUAAACUUCACAAACUUCACAAAAUUAAAACAUCAUUUAGGUUCGUUGAACGUGAAGCAGAAAGUCACCAAUUGAGUUAUACAACUUUGACUUUUAGACAAGGAUUGUUCCAGAGGACGAUGCCAUAUUGCUGUGUCUAAAAAAUCUCGUCUUCAACAUUGAUUGUCUAUGAAGGUAAAACUUGUUAUUAAGUAUGUUUUAGAGUAUUUCUUUGAAUUAUCCGUGAAAACUUUUCUGUUAUUUCAAAAGUGGAGUCAAUCAUUUAUUAUAGGUAUACAUAUUUAAAACAAUCCUAUAUUUCCCCCGCAUUUCGUGACGCAAAAAAACGUUGAAAUAUACAAUACAUGAAAUUACAUUGAUAUUUUGUCGAGAGAACUCUAGUUGUAAACGAUGUCACAAUUUGGUAAAGCUUUAGUAAGAUUUUCUAUAACUUUGUUUUUAUCUUUGAUGAGUGGCAGAUUUCCCAGUUUCAAUGUCUUCAAGUUUCUGCAAAAAAUAACCAGGAGUUAAGUUACAAAAUUGAUACACAAAAUUACUAAAUACCUACGAGAGUUUAUCUAUUUUGUUCAGAGCCUUCUCCGAAAUAUUUGCACAGUUGUUUACUUCGAGAUUAUUCAAACUGUCUUUUAAGAUAGAAAGAAGAGGAAUGGCUGGAUCCUCAAUAUAGACACAGUUAACUAACUUCACUUCGUUUAUGUGGUUGCAUCCCUCUGGAAAAAAUUAAAUUACAGAAAAUUUCGAGUUCAUCACUUUAGUAAUAUAUGAGGAUCCACUCACUGAAAUGUGGGAAGCCAAUGUGGCUGAUUGCAGAAUCAGUAGCAUCAACUACUUGAAUAUGUUUACGUGGUUCGUCUAAUGACGGAAGAGCAUUGUAAUCUGAAAGCAAAGGUCCACCCUCUGUCCACUUGAUUGCAGCUCCAUUUUUCAAUAACCAUUCAGCACACGCUCGAUCGGAUCCAACCUCUGCAACGCGCCGUGUGUCAACACUUGAAACAACCAAUUGUUGGUGAAAAAGAUGGUAUAUAUAUAUCAACAGAAAAAAUGAACAUAAUAUUCAUGAGAUUCUCCAAGUUCUAUAGAUUCUCUAAAGGUGAUUAUUAUUAGUGCAUCAAAUUUUUACUUGUUAAACAUAAGAGUGAUCCAAUAGAACAUUGGUCGUCGUGGUACUGACUGUGGCUCCAGAAAUUGAUGAAGGUUGCUAGAAAACUACCAAAAAUAUUAAUGGACAUGAAACACCGACAAUAAGGGUUUAUAAUAAAUGUGGUAGUUAGUGCGAUAAUGAAUGUGACAAAUACCAAAGACUUCCAUAC
Long non-coding RNA from Athalia rosae (coleseed sawfly), 1680 nucleotides. RefSeq lists it as uncharacterized. Lineage: Eukaryota; Metazoa; Arthropoda; Insecta; Hymenoptera; Athaliidae. The record is from RefSeq and is a predicted model, not a curated record. The transcript is spliced from 3 exons.